GAUGAACGCUAGCGGCAGGCCUAAUACAUGCAAGUCAAACGGGUAGCAAUACCAGUGGCGUACGGGUGCGUAACGCGUAUGUAACCUACCUUUCACAGGAGAAUAACUCGGAGAAAUCAGGGCUAAUAUUCCAUAAUACAGGGGCACGGCAUCGUGAUAUUGUUAAAGCUACGGUGGCGAAAGAUGGGCAUGCGUUGGAUUAGCUAGUUGGUGAGGUAAUGGCUCACCAAGGCUGUGAUCCAUAGGGGUUCUGAGAGGAAGAUCCCCCACACUGGCACUGAGAUACGGGCCAGACUCCUACGGGAGGCAGCAGUGGGGAAUAUUGGACAAUGGGCGAAAGCCUGAUCCAGCAAUGCCGCGUGAGUGAUGAAGGCCUUAGGGUUGUAAAGCUCUUUUGCCAGGGAUGAUAAUGACAGUACCUGAGAAUAAGCUCCGGCUAACUCCGUGCCAGCCGCCGCGGUAA
Molecule: ribosomal RNA, 463 nt
Filed under: uncultured bacterium
Lineage: Bacteria
Description: partial 16S ribosomal RNA
Rfam family: Bacterial small subunit ribosomal RNA
Source: RNAcentral